AGGAUAAACGCUGGCGGCGUGCCUAACACAUGCAAGUCGAACGUCUCUUCUUUCGGGAAGAGGAGUGGCGGACGGGUGAGGAACACGUGGGAACCUGCCCUUCAGUGAGGAAUACCGGCGAGAAAUCGCCGACAAGACCGCAUAGCCCUCUCUGGUGAGAGCCAGAGAAGGAAAGCCUCGCAAGAGGCGCUGGAGGAGGGGCCUGCGUCCGAUUAGCUAGUUGGUGGGGUAAGAGCCUACCAAGGCGUCGAUCGGUAGCUGGUCUGAGAGGACGAUCAGCCACACUGGGAUUGAGAACGGCCCAGACUCCUACGGGGGCAGCAGUGAGGAAUUUUCGGCAAUGGGGGAAACCCUGACCGAGCAACGCCGCGUGCAGGAAGACGGCCUUCGGGUUGUAAACUGCUUUCUCGGGAAGAGAACGGACGGUACCCGAGGAAUCAGCCCCGGCUAACUACGUGCCAGCAGCCGC
This 469-nucleotide ribosomal RNA is filed under the name uncultured bacterium. Its description in RNAcentral is "SSU rRNA". It matches the Rfam family "Bacterial small subunit ribosomal RNA", at positions 26 to 518 of the family's 1533-position model. The record is from RNAcentral.